Non-coding RNA from Cricetulus griseus (Chinese hamster), 2077 nucleotides. Lineage: Eukaryota; Metazoa; Chordata; Mammalia; Rodentia; Cricetidae. The record is from RefSeq and is a predicted model, not a curated record.
GUUAGGAACAGGGAGCUACCAUUUAUUUGUAGGGGGCCCAGUUAGACGGUUUGGUGAAGUUUCUGAGUUCCUGCUGUGUGCUCAUUUAAGGACUGUUGGUGUGGUGAACUAAACCCGCUUAAUCCUGCUUUUGUGGGGCUCACUCUGGUAGAAAGAUACACAGGCUCUAGACAACACCCAAGCGAAUGUCAGGAGCCAUGCAGAGAAUCACAGUGUUGUGUUUGAGACAGACUGAGAGACCAUUAAGACGACCACGAGUUUGUGCCUCGAUCCCUGGCCCCUAGGAGCUUCUGUGAGAAGUCAGUCUGAAAAGUGUUUGGCUUUGGGAAUGCCGAUGGUUAUUUUGGCAGGCAGAUGUUCUUGGUGGGAUUGUUCUAGGCAGUUUAAAAUGCUCAGCGUCCCUAGUGUCUUCCAUAAAUGCCAGAUCAGAUCCUCAGCCUUUUCCAAAUGGCCCUGGAGGUGGCCUGUCUUGACUGCCCCCGGCUGAGACAACUAUUACUUCCUUAUCAAGCAGACAUUUUGGUCCCAAACAGGAUUAAAAUACUAUUUACAACCUUAAUGCUUUCAGGCAUGGCCAGCAAAAAAAAAAAGUUGGCAGUUUCUUUAUUCCUAUUGGAAGCUACAUCUUUGUAAAGAAAGCUGCGAAAUGUUAUAUAUGCAGUUGAAAAUGGUGAAAGCAUGGCUAAAUAGCUAAGGUAGGCAUCAAUGGCUAAAAAGAGCAAAUCUAGAUGACUUUGCAUUGAUUUAGCUGAAGUUGUCAUAAGAACCACGGUGCUUAUGUAACUCGAUGGCCAGAGUCAAGGGGAAUCCCAGCCAUCAGUUGAAAAGAUAAAGUAGGCUUUGGUGGCUGGAAAGAAGCCAGUGACAGUGAGUUUUUUAGACAGUUGGUCAUUUUUUGGACACGUCAAGUCCUCUUUUCUCUUCUUCCGCCUUCCUCACUUAACUUCUUUCUCUUUUCCUUCUCAUUCUGCCUCCAUUCUCAUUCCAUCUUGCCAGUGGUACUGGGGCAUCACUAGUUUGCCUGAUGGCAGAAGCCAGUGCUGAGGCUUGAGUUUACGCAAAGACCUUUCUCCUAGUAGUCUGACUAUUGUGGUUGUAGAUGGUGCCUGGAUAGUACUCCACAUUUAACCUGGCCUGCUCUGCCACAUGGUUGUAUAACGUGACCAGCUCACAGCUUGUAGCAGUUGGGUAGAAGCCUGGACAGCUGUGUUUCCCAUAAGGUAGCUUCCCGCAGGCUUUUGGUAAGGCCUUUGGUCAGUCAUCUGCCUAAAGGGUUACCACCCAGGCCUUGGCAAUUGAGAGUCCAAGGAGACCUUUAGUAUUGAUGGAUCAUCUUAAUUUUGCCUUGCUCCUCCCCCCCCCCCCCCCCCCCGCUCUUUUUUUUUUUGUAAAAUUGCUAGUAAGUUUAUAGUAAGAUGGCUCCACAGACAGCAGCAGGCCUGUGUCUAGACACCAGUGUGGCCUUUGUUAACUGAAGUCCUUGUCAUCUUCAUAGUUUCAAGUAUUUAGCAUUCUUGAGCCCUUGCUUCUGUUGUUUCAAAGGGCUUUGACCUGAUGGGGUAAAAGAGGAAGGAAAGCUUGAGUGCCUCAUGCAGUCCCACCAUGAAGUAUGCUCUAGAGUUUGCCAGGUUGAAAGUAGCUAGUUUUGCCAUUGGAUCGUGCCCGUCUUCCCCCAAAGACUGCAGGGCGCACCAUCGAGCUGUAUUGUGUACUGUAUGGCCCCAAUCCUUUGGAAUGGUGUGUGGCUGGUAGCAGGCUUUUUGUCAGUGACCAUUCUCCCCACUUUGCCUUGGAACCUGGAGUCAGUGUUGUGUGUCUGUGUCCGCCCCCUGCCCCCAAAGGCAGACAGCACUCAUUCUGUCUCUUCCACAUCCACCCUGCACAUGUACAUACAUUCUCUCAUCAUGGCGUGCUCUGUGGCAUCUCACUGAGGGUGGCUGCUCCUGGAAGGCUCAUGGUUGGUUUUUUCCCUUGAAAAUCUCUGCAGCCCUCAGACAAUUCACCCUAUAUGUGCAUGCAGUGUUUGUCAUUAGUUUUCUUUUUUCCAUUUUCAAUUAAAAAUUCUCCAUUUUGGGUU